GGUAGCCAAGCAACUAUCCUCUUCACAAUACUAGACCAACUAUGUUGACAACUAUAACUAUAUACAUUAUUUUUAAAAGAAUUGGCUGAUUACUCUGUCAACAGCUAUAAUGAGAGGGGAUAGCUACUUUGGAAGGAAAAAACAUCCAGUCUUUUGCUUAAUUAUUCAGUAUACAUAUUUAUUUUCUAUGUGUAUGCUCUAUUCAACAGGCUUAUUCAAUAAGCUAUUUAGCUCUUUAGUACACAGAUGAAGUCCAGCAAAGAAAAAGAUAUUCUAUAAAAAAACUGAAGCAUAAAAAGUAUGCAGAAGUAGAAAACUAGCAAAGUACUAUUGAUAAAAAUAACACCAUAUAUGAGAGAGCAUGGGAUGUGGUACAUAAUUCAAGAGAAUUUCCAAAAAAUCAUUUGUCAUUGACUAUAUCAAAAAUUGUGUACCUCAUUACCACACUUCAAGCCUGUGCACCUAAUCUUCCGUUUCAAAUCAGAAUCAAGCUUAGUGAGCAUAUAGCCCAACCCAACGACACAACCUCUACUUCAAACUCAUGUUCACAAAUAUAUGGUAACAUCAAUACAGUGGCAUGAAAAUCGUAUCAUCAUAAGAUCUAUGACGCAUAGGUAUGGUACUAGUACGAGUACGUGAUAUGGUAAUUUUUUUUUUUAGAAUUAAGGUAUGGAUACAUCAAUAAAAAACAUUAAUUUUUUUAUAUAAUUUAACUUAGAAAGUUAAAUUGUUCAAUUCACAAUACAAAAUCAAAAUAAAUAUUUAAAAAAUCACAAAUUGUGUUCGAUUACAAUAACAAAUAAACUCAAAUAAACAAAUAAUAUUGUAUUACUAUAUAACAAAAUCAUGAAUUUCGCUCGAAAUAAAAUAAAUAAAACCAAAAUACCGACAAAUAUGGUACGAGUACCAGUACCGGGUAAGCACCCAGUAUGGGUACUUCACCAUUUUAGAAGUACUCCAUGCUUUAUAGCUUAAGAUGCAUAGGGAAUGUUUCAACCAUUAUUUCGUAUAUAAAAUGCAAACAAUAUCCCAAUCAUCUUCCACGUCAUUAAUUAGAACAAAAUAUAAAAUGACAAUAGGUAUUUACCUCUACAGACAAUACCUGGACAGAUGUUUUCCCCAUUUUUUCAACAAAUAUUGAAUAAAAGUCACAAAUCAAAGGUAGGUGGCAGUUCAAAAUUUUAUGCUCCGAGACUAUGUAGAUCAGAUCAAGAAAUAUUGGGUAGCUGUUUUUAUCAAUUUUAAGGCAGACAGAUUUGGUGACAAUUUGGUUUGAUGAAGCCGAAAUACAUAUAUUAGUCUACGCAUAACUCAUAAUAUUUCGGAAGUCAACAUGAUAACAGGCUAAUAAAGUAUAAUAAAGACUUAUUUAAAUUAAGACCAUUUUACUAAAAGUAACAGUAUAUAUUUAAUUAUUUAUGUAACAACUCAUUCAUAUAAAGAAUGUUAUAUAGAAAGUUAGAGUUGAUUAUAAAGAAUACUGACCAGUAAUUCCUUUGAUGAAUUUGUCUCAGUAGUCUUUCAUUCUUAAACUCCAAGUUCACAACACUACACUGAUCAUCAUCAACUCCAAUUUUGCUCUGAGCAAAAUCAAGAAUAGCAAUAGGAAAACAUUUUCAGCACGCCAAAAGCAAUGGUAAGAAAAAGGAACAUGUAAAAGGAAGUAAAAGGAAGAUUAACCAAUUAACAGAAUUCAAUUCUAAGACAUUAUUCAGGGUAACCAUUAAUACUGUAAUUAGAACUCCUUUUAUAAAUCCUUUUUGUAACCAUAGAGCUCUUGCUAUUGUUGUCUGCGUAUUAUUAGAACCCUUGGAUAUGAUAUAAAAUACAUCAUGAACAUAUACCAAAGAGACAAUUGAGCACACAAGGGUAUAAUAUAAUAAAAUACAAAAGCUAACAAAAAAGACAUUGAAAAAAAACUGAAUAUGCAUUUGAAAUUUAAGUGACAGAAUUUGCAACUUUAGAUCGACUGUCACAGAAGACCACAAUUCCAAUUGCAAAACACCUAUUUAAUCAAAUUUAUUAACAAUAACAAACAUCAAGACUUCCAACUUGCACAUAUCCCUUCUUCCACACGCUACGUGAUCUGUGCAAAUUUCAAUUUUUAAUUGUUAGGGUCACACUAUCCAUUCUGCUGCCUUCCUCAAUUGGCUCACAAUCUUGUCCACUGUUUAUUAGAUAGUUCAAUUUUUUCAUCAAUAAGAAAAAAAGUGCCAUAGUAUCCUAAUAGAAAGUUCAUGAUCAAACCCUUCAAAGUUCAAACAAUUAUUCAAUCUGAUAACCAAAUAAAUAUAUUACUAAAAUAAUGUGGUUUGAAAAUGAGCUCAAAAGAGUUCGAAAGUUUGGAGCUUAGACAAUUAAAAGCUAAGCAUUUAACUUAUAUCUCAAGCCUACUACUAACAGAGUGACUUCAUGGCCUCGUCAACAUUCUUCUUUAAACAAUAUGAAUGAAUGUAUAAUUGCCUCAUAUGUAUCAAGACUGAACCCAACCCGUUUCAAUUGUGACAUAACAACACUCGCAUCACCUAUCCUUCCAGCAAUGCUUAAGCCAAAUACCAAACUUCAUGUAAACAAUUGCAUUCGGUCAGCAUCCAGAACUCAACAUGUCAUCAAAAUAUUCCAUGGCUUUAUCAAUAUUGUUCACACCACAGAAUGCAGAUAUCAGAACAGUAUAAGUAACAGCAUUUCCUUUCAGCUUUGCAUAACCCAUCAAUCAAGCAAUUAUAUGGAACAAUGUUUGGCCUAUUUUUCUUCUCAGUUUUCCUCUCUGCCAGCAAACUCAAACCAUCUUCUUCCCUCCCAACUUUACUAAGUUUGUGAAUCAAAGUAUUAUACAAGACCACAUCAGGUUCCACACCAAUCCUAUUCUUUUCUCCUUUACCUCUCAAUUUAUCAAAUACCAUCAACGCCUGAUUGAUCCUCUUAGCCUUGCAUAUGUGAUUAAUAAUAAUCCCAAAGGUUAUAACACUGGAUCCGUAUUUUCUUUUCUUCCAUCUCUGCCAACAGUUUAAUGGUCUUUUGAAUCUCUUUGCCUUUCGAGCCCGUCAACAAUUGCAAGAUGUCGCUUCAACAGGACAACCCAAUUUCAUCACACCACCCAAGAUCAUUGAGGCACAAUAUUGUCAUCUCAAUUUAUCGAAUUUAAUGUCAUAUAGACUCAAAGAUUAAAUUUGUGUCUAAGAUCAUCGAGGCACAAUACUGCCCAUCCAAUUCCAAGUUCAAAUGAAUAAAAAACUCAUAUUGAAGGCCACAUGUAGGUUCAAGAUCCAAUUUCAAAUCAAUAAAAAAUUCAUAUGGCAAGCCACAUUUCGGGUCAAGAAUUCAUCUUGUAAUUAAAUAUCAGGUUUUCCAAUCAUACUAUCCCAAUUUCAUUUCAUAUGAAUAAAAAGUUUACAUUGCAAGCCACAUUUUAGAUCUAGAAUUUAUCUCGUAAUUAAACUUCGGGUCAUCCAAUCAUACUAUCUCAAAUUUUCAAUUUCAUUUCAUAUGAAUAAAAAAUUCAUAUUGAAGACCACAUUUAUGGUUAAGAAUCUAUCUCAUAAUUAAAUUUCGGAUCAUCCAAAAAUACUAUCUCAAUUUCAUAUUAAUAAAAAACUCAUAUUGAAUGUCACAUUUAGGGUCAAGAAUCUAUCUCGUAAUUAAAUUUCAAGUCAUCCAAAAAUGCUAUCUCAAUUUCUUUUCAUACGGGUAAAAAAUUCAUAUCGCAAGCCACAUUUUAGGUCAAGAGUUUAUCUCGUAAUUAAGUUCCGGGUCUUCCAAUCAUACUAAGAUCAUUUAACGAAUUUAGGUUCAUCAACAUCCAAAUAUCAAAUUUCACAUCUAAGAUCAUUAAGACACACUAUCAUCAUAUCCUUCGAAUAUAAGAUCAUGUAGGUCAAAUUUCAUAUUUGGCAUCCAUGGCCAUUGAGACACCAACAUUCCAAUUUAACAAAUUAGGGACAUCUAGGUUCAAAUAUUGAGUUUUGAAUCCAAUAUGGCCGAGGCGCAAUAUCAUCAUCUAAGUUUAUAGAACUUCAUGUCAAUAAGACUGAAAAGUCAAAUUCAAAUCAAUGGUCGUCUAGACACAAAACCAUCAUCCUAAUGUAUCGAACUUAGGAACAUUUAGACUUAAAUAUCAUAUUUUGCAUCCAAUAUCGAUAUGCAACAUCAAUCUAUCGAGGCACAAAACCAUCAUCCUAAUGUAUCGAGGCAAUUUACCAUCAUCGCAAUUUAUCGAGUUCAAGAUCAUAUAGGCACACAAUACCAUCAUUCUAAUUUAUUUAAUUCAACAUCAUAUCCUCACAUAUAAAUUUUGCAUCGAAGUUCAUUGAAGCACCAUACCAUAGUUAGAAAAUCAAAUUUUACAUCUAUGCUAAUCAAAGCUUAAUACAACCAUCAUCCUCUUAAUUUACCAAAUUUAAAAUAGUCUAUUAAGCUCAAACCCUAAGACCAUCUAGGCUCAAAUACAUUUUUGGCAUCUAAGGUAAAACACCCAUCAUUUCAAUUUAUCGAAUUUAGGAUAAUAAGCUCCUAUAUAGAUUUUGCAAUCGAGGUUCAAUAUUAAUCAUAUCACUAUUAAAUUUCACAUCUAAGUUGAUCAAAGCACAAUAUCAUAAUCCUCCCAAUUUAUCAAAUUUAGGAUAGUCUACAAGGCUCAAAUAUUGAAUUUCGAUUCCAAGAGGUCAUCGAGGCUUAAUACCAUCAUUUUAAUAUACUGAAUUUAGGAUCAUCUAUUUUUGGCAUCUAAGGCAAAAUAUAUAUCAUUCCAAUUUAUCGAAUUUUGGAUAAUAAGCUCUUAUAUAAAUUUUGCAAUCAAGGUACAAUAUUAAGCAUCUCACUAUCAAAUUUCACAUCUAAGUUGAUCAAACACAAUAUUAUAAUCAUCCCAAUUUAUCGAAUUUUGAAUCCAAGAGGUCAUCGAUGUUUGGUACUGUAUUUAAAUAUAUUGAAUUUAGGAUCAUCAAUGCUCAAAUAUUAAAUUUCGCAUUCAAGGUCCUUGAGGCACAAUAUUGUCAUAUCCAUUUAUCAAAUUUAGGAUCAUAUAGGCACAUUUGCUAAAUUUGUGUCCAACGUCACUGAGGCAUAAUAUUGUUACCGAAGGAAAACUUGUUAUUGUCAUUCCGUUAAAGGAUCAUCAUGACAUGCAUGUCAUUUAAGUUACAAAUAAAUAUUCAUACUAAAAUUGCAUUUAGGUCAUCAAUUUACAUCCAUAAUAUCUCAUUUCAUAUGAAUAAAAAAUUCAUAUUACAAGUCACAUUUGGAGUUAACAAGUCAUCUCGUGGUUAAAUUAGAGUGAUACAAACUAUCUCAAAUUCAUAUGAAUAAAAAAUUCAUAUUGUAAGUCAUAUUGUGGGUACAAAUACUAUCUCAUGAUUAAAUUUUAAGUCAUCUAAUCAUACUAGCCCAAUUUCAUUUCAUAUGAAUAAAAAAUUCAUAUUGAAAACCACAUUUUGGAUCCAUAACCCUUCUCUUAGGACAACAUUUACAAACAGAUUUAAUUACUCACAAACAAACUACCUCAUAAAAAUUAUAAAGUAUCUCAGGUAUAUCUCACAACUAUUUCUUUCAUUCAUAACUACCUCAUAUAACAUUUGUUUUAAAACGUUUAAAACUAAUUAGCCAAUUUGAUUUGGCAAAUCAAGAGUUAGUGAGUAUGAAUAGAAAAUUAGUAAUCUUGUUGUUCAUCAUUGCAUACAAGAAAAUUAUUUUAUAGUUUGAUCUAUAUCGUAUUUGUUAUCUAAAAUGAAGAAAGAAAAACUUUAACUGUUUAAUUUGUAAAUAAAAAUUUCAAAUAAUUGAAGUUGAUGAAAUUGAAUAAAUAUUUGUCUAGUCAAAUAUAACACAUGGAAAAGCAGGAUAGUCAACUAUAGUAUUAUACUGACACAUCUGCAGAGUGCAAACCCAAGUAGUAAAUAGUUUCGCUCCUAGAGGCAAAAUCUUAUGUGUCCCACUUCAAACCUAUAGAAAAACUCUUUAAUAUAAUGUGUAACCCAAGUACUAAAUAAUUUAAGGCAUGCUGGAUUAUGUAGACAAAAAAACUUAAAAAAUAUUGAAAAAGGGUGAGAAUCUAAAGAUUUUAGUUUUUAGUCCUAACCUGAAUGAGCAAUGAGCAAUCAAAGCAUAUAAUUUCCACUUGACCCGUAGAAAUGAAAGUAAGCAAACUAAAAAAAUAUAAUGACCACUUCACUCUUGCAUAUGCGACCAGGUACCGUUACUGCAGAAAGAAAAUCUAUUUUAGAUUCAAGUUGUUCAUGAAAUUAUACUAAAUUAAUUUCAAUUAAAAAAAAAAGUAAUAAAGUCAUUUAUAUUUACGGAUGAAUUUCAUAUAUUAUUUUUGUUUUGGUAAUUCACAAAAAGGUUUGUAGCCACUUAAUGAAGGGAAUCUUAAAAUGCUCAUAACAAAAAGAGAAAGUUGUGCAUGUCUUUACAAUGCCGAGCAAAUCAAGUAUUCAUAUAUCAAAUCUCUAUAUAAAUAAAUCAAUCCAUUGAUUUGUCAUUUCGGCUUCCUCAACUAAUCCUACACUUUAACUGUUUUCCAGCUUGAUCCAUAAUGACUAUUUUGAAUUUAUGUGCCAUCAAAGUUAUAAACCAUAAGACAUCAAAUCAGAAAUCCUAUUAUAAAUAACAGAUAUAUGUAAUUAUAAAUCAAAAUACCAUUAAAGAUUUGAAGUACUUGAAUAUACCGACAAAAUCGAGGAAUUAAGCAAAACAAGCAUAACACAACAUAAUCAAAUCCAUUGAAUAAACAUAUUUAUAUAACUGGGAAAAAAAACAUCAGUCUGUAGCAUUCGCCACACAAAAUGAUCAAUGAUUAAAUAAUGAUUGUCAUUUCUAAGUUCUAAAACUAGUUCUUAGGUAGCCAAGCAACUAUCUUCUUCACAAUACUAAACCAACUAUGUUGACAACUAUAACUAUAUACAUUAUUUUUAAAAGAAUUGGUUGAUUACUAUUUCAACAGCUUUAAUGAGAGGGGAGAACUACUUUAGAAGGAAAAAACAUCCAGUCUUUUACUUAAUUAUUCAGUAUACAUAUCUAUUUUCUAUGUGUAUGCUCUAUUCAACAGGCUUAUUCAAUAAGCUAUUUAGCUCUUUAGUACACAGAUGAAGUCCAGCAAAGAAAAAUAUAUUCUAUAAAAAAACUAAAGCAUAAAAAGUUGCAUAAGUAGAAAACUAGCAAGGUACUAUUGAUAAAAAUAACACGAGAUAUGAGAGAGCAUAGUAUCUGGUACAUAUUUCAAGAAAAU
Molecule: long non-coding RNA, 7222 nt
Filed under: Cicer arietinum (chickpea)
Lineage: Eukaryota; Viridiplantae; Streptophyta; Magnoliopsida; Fabales; Fabaceae
Description: long non-coding RNA (CARI_LNC000909)
Source: RNAcentral